Molecule: small RNA, 127 nt
Filed under: Marmota monax (woodchuck)
Lineage: Eukaryota; Metazoa; Chordata; Mammalia; Rodentia; Sciuridae
Source: RNAcentral
GCUGGGUGCGGUGGAGUACACCUGUAAUCCCAGUGGCUCUGGAGGCUGAGGCAGGAAGAUUGUGAGUUUAAAGCCAGCUUCAGCAACUUAUUGAGGCCCUAAGGAACUCAGUGGGACCCUGUCUCUA